GGGCGAUGGUCGCGGCCCCCACGGAAGGCAGUCUUUCUACCUUUUUUGCUUCCAGACUCACUGACAUAAAAUGAGAAAUACAACGUUUGACAACUCGAAGCCAGCCUGGGGUCACAUUCCGGCAAACAGUGGGAACCAGCAAAGCCAAGGACAGAGAGGUCUUCAGGGAAUACAUGGCUAUGGUGGUUUGAAGACUCCCAUUAGAGAGUGGAUAUUAAUUGCCCUCCUUUUGAAUAUGGUCUGGACUUAGUGAUUUGAUUGUAACAAAUAGAAUACAGCAGAUGUGAUGCUAUGUGACUUCCAAACCUAGGUCAUAAAAGGAGAUAAAGUUUUCACCUGGCUCUCCCUUGCGACACUCACCCUUGGAACCCAGCUGCCAUAUUGUGAGGAAGCUCAAGCCACAGGGAAGUUUUCACCUGGCUCUCCCUUGGGACACUCACCCUUGGAACCCAGCUGCCAUAUUGUGAGGAAGCUCAAGCCACAGGGAAGGCCAUGUGUAGGUGUUUGGGUUGAUGGUGCCAGCUGAGGACCCGGUCUACUGCCAGUACAACUUAUACCAAGCAUGUGAGUUGGCGAGCUUUUGAAAGAACUCCAGCCACAGUCACUGACCACGCUGCCUGAGAGACCUAGAGAGAAAACCUAGCUGAGCCAAAUCAGGCCCCGGAAACAUAAAUAACCAGCACCUCUGCCUGCUUUCCUUACUCAAAUCUUUGAUGAGACCAUCUUUUCAGAAGAGGCAGGUGCAGCACCUCUGGAACCUGCAUUAACUCUCCCAGCAGAAUGUAAAGCAUGAAAGAAAUGCUCCAGUUUUUAUAUAACUUUUUAUUUUGGCAUGCAACAAUCAGUACUUCAACUUAAAGGAAUGAGGAAGAUGGGGAUUGCAGACAUUUUGUUUGAUGGAGUAACAACCAAAUCAACAACACAUGUCAGUCAACUAAAC
This 940-nucleotide long non-coding RNA is filed under the name Pan troglodytes (chimpanzee). RNAcentral's name for it is "long non-coding RNA NONPTRT011118". The record is from RNAcentral. Lineage: Eukaryota; Metazoa; Chordata; Mammalia; Primates; Hominidae.